Pan troglodytes (chimpanzee) is the source of this 1711-nucleotide long non-coding RNA. RefSeq lists it as uncharacterized. NCBI's taxonomy places the organism in Eukaryota, Metazoa, Chordata, Mammalia, Primates, Hominidae. The record is from RefSeq and is a predicted model, not a curated record. The transcript is spliced from 4 exons.
GGCAGCGACUAAGGUUUAGUGAGGCGGCACCGCGCGGCCCGAGGCGGGUCUUGAAGCACUCGUUUUCCCACUCGUUUUCCGGGGUUCCCCCGCGGUGGGACAGUGAGCAGUUCAGGGCGCCGCAGCCGAGGCCUUCCUCCAGGAAACGUUUGCUGGCUCCUGCCUUAGAAGAUGAGAAAGUUUGUGAUGGAUGGAGAAGAGGAUCUUCCAGAAAAUAACCAGGGCUUUCCAGCCACUGGAUCCAAAGAGUGUGCUCUCCCUGAGGGUGGAGACGGAGCCAGGUUUGCCCAUGUGAGCAUCUGCAGGAUCCUGGAGAUGUCUCAAGCCUGGCAGCAGAGAAAGACUGUCCGAGGAGGCAGCAGGAGCCAGGGCCAGUGACACCACAUCUCAAGGAGCCAAAUGAUGAUGCGGAUUUUCAGGCUAAAAGUGUGAGGCCAGAUUUUGCGGGCGGUGAGCUGGAAGGAGCACUGGACUAGGAGUCCUGAGAGGUUAGAGUAUAAGACUCCAUCCACCAGGAGGACAUACUGGCUCACACAUAAAAAGAAGGUUUUGGAACAGAUGAUCCUUCUGCUGUUUACCCCCGACCCCCCCAGGCUAUUUAAGAGUAGAAUCCUUUGCUUGGGUAAUUACGUUGACAUUGACACUAAAAGGAUGCAUAGUUGUCUUGACAGCAAGUCCUUCUUGCUCAACAUCAAGAAACCACAGAGAAGACUGAAGCGGCUGGAACAGUCGGGUCUAUUUCCUCCCUCUUCUGUGUUGAUGAACUUCUGGGAGGAGAACGGGGUUAGAACCGAAGUAUGGCUUGCAGACUCUGUUCAGAGUCUACGCCUCACCAGCAGGCUGGGAGCCACUUAUGCACUGGGCCUUCCCAUCCCUCGGUGCUGGAGCCCACACCUGGCGGCGCGUCAGACUGCGGCGAGCAUCACAGGUCAGUUCCGUGAAACCGACCACGAGGGUCCAGCCGCUCCAACCACACUCGCCCACCUCCCCUGCUCUUGAGGGCUCGGGUACCUUCAUGCCAGGAAAGGCAGCAGCUGGACGGAGUCACCUUUCUGGUUUGGGCAUGUUCUGCAGUCUGCUUUGUCUGCUGAUAUUUGCAUUCUUUCUGUGUCAAUAUCAAACACAAAUAAGCAGAACGCUUUCCAAGGAAAUGUACAUGUGUACCCACAUUUGCCACAAUCUGUCAGGACAGCACACUUCUUGAUGAAAUGGAUCAAAUCAUUCCUUUUAAGGAAAAAAAAAUCCCGAAAUGCCAGCGCCUCCCUCUCCCCCGCCCCCCAACAAAGGCCUGUGGUUCUGGGCUCUUUGCAGGCACAGCCCCUGUGGACAGAUAUCCUCACCUGCCGGUGGGAAGGCAGGGAUCAUGCCCACCUACCCGGCCCCCUUUGUCUCCUAAGAUACUUGUUUCUAUUCCUGGGGGCAAAUUUGCCUGACACUGGCUCCUGGUGGUGAGUUAGAGUAUCGCCGGGCCAUACACUAGCAGCUCGGGCAGCUAUUCCAACCGUCCAGGUGUGCCCUGUGUUGACAUAAUCCGACUUGGAACAUCCACCUUUUCACCCAUUCCACAAAUAUUUACGAGAGCUGGCUCUAUGCCAGGCCUUGUUUAGGUGCUGGGGAUGCAACGGCGAAUAAAAGACAAAAACCCCUGCCCCCUGGAAGCGUCCGUUCUUGUCUGGCAGAGACCCACAAUAAAUAAGUAAAAUGAACUGAA